This 377-nucleotide ribosomal RNA is filed under the name uncultured organism. Its description in RNAcentral is "partial 16S ribosomal RNA". It matches the Rfam family "Bacterial small subunit ribosomal RNA", at positions 527 to 896 of the family's 1533-position model. The record is from RNAcentral.
GUAGGUGGCAAGCGUUGUCCGGAAUUAUUGGGCGUAAAGCGCGCGCAGGUGGUUCUUUAAGUCUGAUGUGAAAGCCCCCGGCUCAACCGGGGAGGGUCAUUGGAAACUGGGGAACUUGAGUGCAGGAGAGGAAAGUGGAAUUCCACGUGUAGCGGUGAAAUGCGUAGAUAUGUGGAGGAACACCAGUGGCGAAGGCGACUUUCUGGCCUGUAACUGACACUGAGGCGCGAAAGCGUGGGGAGCAAACAGGGAUUAGAUACCCUGGUAGUCCACGCCGUAAACGAUGAGUGCUAAGUGUUGGGGGGGUUUCCCGCCCCGUCAGUGCCUGCAGCUAACGCAUUAAGCACUCCGCCCUGGGGAGUACGGUCGCAAGACUG